AAUGGGUCAGCGACUUAUAUUCUGUAGCAAGGUUAACCGAAUAGGGGAGCCGGAGGGAAACCGAGUCUUAAUUGGGCGUUAAGUUGCAGGGUAUAGACCCGAAACCCGGUGAUCUAGCCAUGGGCAGGUUGAAGGUUGGGUAACACUAACUGGAGGACCGAACCGACUAAUGUUGAAAAAUUAGCGGAUGACCUGUGGCUGGGGGUGAAAGGCCAAUCAAACCGGGAGAUAGCUGGUUCUCCCCGAAAGCUAUUUAGGUAGCGCCUCGUGAAUUCAUCUCCGGGGGUAGAGCACUGUUUCGGCUAGGGGGCCAUCCCGGCUUACCAACCCGAUGCAAACUGCGAAUACCGGAGAAUGUUAUCACGGGAGACACACGGCGGGUGCUAACGUCCGUCGUGAAGAGGGAAACAACCCAGACCGCCAGCUAAGGUCCCAAAGUCAUGGUUAAGUGGGAAACGAUGUGGGAAGGCCCAGACAGCCAGGAUGUUGGCUUAGAAGCAGCCAUCAUUUAAAGAAAGCGUAAUAGCUCACUGGUCGAGUCGGCCUGCGCGGAAGAUGUAACGGGGCUAAACCAUGCACCGAAGCUGCGGCAGCGACGCUUAUGCGUUGUUGGGUAGGGGAGCGUUCUGUAAGCCUGCGAAGGUGGCCUGUGAGGGUUGCUGGAGGUAUCAGAAGUGCGAAUGCUGACAUAAGUAACGAUAAAGCGGGUGAAAAGCCCGCUCGCCGGAAGACCAAGGGUUCCUGUCCAACGUUAAUCGGGGCAGGGUGAGUCGACCCCUAAGGCGAGGCCGAAAGGCGUAGUCGAUGGGAAACGGGUUAAUAUUCCCGUACUUGGUGUUACUGCGAAGGGGGGACGGAGAAGGCUAUGUUGGCCGGGCGACGGUUGUCCCGGUUUAAGCGUGUAGGCUGGUUUUCCAGGCAAAUCCGGAAAAUCAAGGCUGAGGCGUGAUGACGAGGCACUACGGUGCUGAAGCAACAAAUGCCCUGCUUCCAGGAAAAGCCUCUAAGCAUCAGGUAACAUCAAAUCGUACCCCAAACCGACACAGGUGGUCAGGUAGAGAAUACCAAGGCGCUUGAGAGAACUCGGGUGAAGGAACUAGGCAAAAUGGUGCCGUAACUUCGGGAGAAGGCACGCUGACACGUAGGUGAAGUGAUUUACUCACGGAGCUGAAGUCAGUCGAAGAUACCAGCUGGCUGCAACUGUUUAUUAAAAACACAGCACUGUGCAAACACGAAAGUGGACGUAUACGGUGUGACGCCUGCCCGGUGCCGGAAGGUUAAUUGAUGGGGUCAGCGCAAGCGAAGCUCCUGAUCGAAGCCCCGGUAAACGGCGGCCGUAACUAUAACGGUCCUAAGGUAGCGAAAUUCCUUGUCGGGUAAGUUCCGACCUGCACGAAUGGCGUAAUGAUGGCCAGGCUGUCUCCACCCGAGACUCAGUGAAAUUGAACUCGCUGUGAAGAUGCAGUGUACCCGCGGCAAGACGGAAAGACCCCGUGAACCUUUACUAUAGCUUGACACUGAACAUUGAGCCUUGAUGUGUAG
This 1542-nucleotide ribosomal RNA is filed under the name Salmonella enterica subsp. enterica serovar Enteritidis. RNAcentral's name for it is "partial 23S ribosomal RNA". It matches the Rfam family "Bacterial large subunit ribosomal RNA", at positions 614 to 2141 of the family's 2925-position model. Lineage: Bacteria; Pseudomonadati; Pseudomonadota; Gammaproteobacteria; Enterobacterales; Enterobacteriaceae. The record is from RNAcentral.